ACUCCUACGGGAGGCAGCAGUGGGGAAUAUUGCACAAUGGGGGAAACCCUGAUGCAGCCAUGCCGCGUGUGUGAAGAAGGCCUUCGGGUUGUAAAGCACUUUCAGUAGGGAGGAAGGUAGUGUAGUUAACACCUGCAUUAUUUGACGUUACCUACAGAAGAAGCACCGGCUAACUCCGUGCCAGCAGCCGCGGUAAUACGGAGGGUGCGAGCGUUAAUCGGAAUUACUGGGCGUAAAGCGCAUGCAGGCGGCCUGUUAAGUCAGAUGUGAAAGCCCGGGGCUUAACCUCGGAAUUGCAUUUGAAACUGGCAGGCUAGAGUCUUGUAGAGGGGGGUAGAAUUUCAGGUGUAGCGGUGAAAUGCGUAGAGAUCUGAAGGAUACCAGUGGCGAAGGCGGCCCCCUGGACAAAGACUGACGCUCAGAUGCG
RNAcentral lists this ribosomal RNA (427 nucleotides) under uncultured bacterium. RNAcentral's name for it is "bacterial SSU rRNA". It matches the Rfam family "Bacterial small subunit ribosomal RNA", at positions 335 to 755 of the family's 1533-position model. The record is from RNAcentral.